This is a long non-coding RNA of Oncorhynchus tshawytscha (Chinook salmon), 3141 nucleotides long. The record is from Ensembl. Lineage: Eukaryota; Metazoa; Chordata; Actinopteri; Salmoniformes; Salmonidae.
AUCCAGUUUCAGCUAGUUUCUGGACGUAGGCCUACUGAUUAAAUAUUUACGUUAGUUACAGUGUGUUCUGAAGGAAUUGAGUGACUUACAUCGGACACAUUCAGAAGCCUGCAUUGAAUUUUCAGUAACUGAGAAGGCUAAUUUGUCCUCUAAUUCUCUAGACAAUACAAGCAAAGCAGCCAUGCCGAAAAGAAGCAAAGUAAGUUGGAAUGUUUACCUUUUAAUUUAAACCUUAUUUUACAAUGUAUAAUUUCUCACAUGAAGUGUUUUUAUAAAUAUCUGCAACAAUCGCAUGUACUCUAAAAUAUGCUUGAUACAAUGUAACAAGUUUUCUCUAAAGUAUGAAUGUGUUUUAGUGUGUCUGUCUUGUCGAAAUGGAAGUGGCGCCUUUUUACUUAGUGUGGUAACAUUUUGCUUUCGUUCUCACUUUCUCAUUUUAGUAACCUGUAACGUUACAUGAUAAACUAUCGCAGCUUGUGCUUUUUAUAUAAGUUACUUAAUCAUAUAAUUUAAUUUGACGCAUAUCGGGUCUUUCAUGAAUGUAAAGUAGCUUUUAAUAGCCUUCUCAGCAAUGAGAUCAGACAAAGGGGUGUAACCCACCUGCAAUGUAACUAAACUACAUGUUGCCAUUGCAGAAAUGCGUGCAUGAUCUAAAGGAUAUUUUGUGAAUAUUGGGAUUGCUUUAAUCGCCUAUAUAUUUGGUUCACGUUUAUAUUCAUAUACUUUUAAUAGCCCAUGCCUGUGGCAUCCUAUAUUAUCACUUUGUGUCCUGUGUGCAGUAAAGCGUAUUGUAAUGCGCGACACCCUAUGGCACGGAAAGGUACGAUCUUUGAAGUGUCAUGGCAGCCCUUGCAAAUAGGAAAGGCAUCGACAACUCGGCGCCAUGUAUCACUUUAAUGGGGUUUUAGAGAAAGUAAUUCUAAAGAAAACGACCACGUGAUUCAUAGCUGGUCACGUGUUCAGUUUUUGGGGAUUUGCUAUUAUUUUGUGUGCAUUCCCUGCCUUUGCUUCCCUAACAAAUGUUGCAUUAUGUAACAGCGAAUUUCUGAAGACAUACUCCACAGCGCAUAUGGGUAAACUGGUAUCGGAGAAUUAUAGAUAUUCAACUAAUGGCGGGAACAUACAGUUGACUGGUUGACGUAACGUGUGGAUGGAUGCCUUCAUAUUACAAAUCUCCGUCGGUUGAUGGGGGAGGGGCUGUUUAUUGGCCUUUAUGCGUAUGGGCUACUAAAGCCUAACUAUAACAUACCUUUUUACUUGUCACUCUCAAGGUAGUUGGUACCAUAAAGGCUCCAUUUUGCACCAUGACAAUGGGAAAAGUCAAAUGGCAUAGUAAUGUUAAAUGUUUACCCUCCCCCACUCACUUUCAGAUUACAUAAUUUGUAUCUAAUUUGGGGAUGAAGCAGUGGGGGGGUACAGUUUGUGAGCCCAUCCCCCUUAGCAUUACACACCCACUUCUCCCUGCAGCUCCCGACCUAUGAUUGUGGGAUUGUUGUUCUUGGUUUUUACUAAGAAUUUUACUUCUUCUCUCCCACCACCCACUCACAGGCAAAUAAUGACACUGAAGUUGAGGUUAGUAUUUAAUGCUCUUAUACAAUUUUAUAUUAUGAAUAACUUAUUUUUUCUGCAAUAGCUGAUUUAACUAUCUUUUUCUCACCAGCCAAAGAGGAGAUCCACGAGGUUAUCAUCUGUAAGUUUGCUAUAUAUUAUCAUAUUUAUGUUGUAUAUCCUGUUUAUGUUUUCUAUGAAUAGAUGCUAUUGUGUAUUUGUAAUUGGACUAAUUAUCUAAUAUGCAUUAUUUUACAGAAACCCACUACUCCAGCUAAAGCAGAGCCUAAGGCAAAGACACCAGUCAAGGCAGCAGCCAAACCCAAAAAGGUAAAGGCGGUAGUCGAGAAGUCCAAGCCUGAGGAGAAGAAAGAGGAUCCUGAGGAAGAAGCAACACCGGCAGAAAACGGAGAGGCCAAAGCUGAGGAGGUAAGACUUGUUACCUUAGUUUCAAUUAUACGAUAUGCCAUGCCAGUGAUAUACAACAUUCAAAAUCAGGAGUAUUGGGUAUUACAAACAGACCAACAAUAAUUGGCAUUGCAGCUGUUUGUACCCCACACACAAAUAGUGUAAACAACUAGACCUAAAAGAACUGUUCUGUAAUAUGGGAACGUAACUUUUUCAUCCGCCAGGAGGCAGCAGAAGAGGAAGAUGCUGAUGCAGACGAGCCUGAGAAAGAGGAGGAUGAGGCAGAAUAACAUCCUUACCCUUUUGCCAGUGCUCCCUGUACCUCCUUUCUUGUACAAUUCAGAAGAAUAUUUUUAUCAACUAUUUUCUUAAGAAAAAGCAGGUUGUGUAGUAGUAAGAUUGUAGAAACAAUUUUAUUUUUUUUUUACCUCUGGAAGAAAGGUUAUGGUCAUUGUGUGUUUCCCUUUUCUUUUGUGGUCUGGUUCAGUUGUCAGUGGGAGGGGGGCAGGUUUGUAGCAAUGACAUGCAAUCACGCCAAUAUCAGGAACUUGUUAUUCAACUGGGAGCGCUUGUCUGACACUAACAUUCCAUAGGCUUUAUGAGGGACAGUUUAUUUAACCUGUUGUAUGGAGAAGGGUUGGGGGUUUAUACACAAUAAUACUUGUUUUAUUGUUUAUAUUGGGUAGGACGGUGGUAAUUCUGUUUUAAACUGUGCCCUAUGAAUUUUUAAACUAUUGUCCACAUUGUAUUAUGUAUCCACAGUUAUGGUUAAUUCUCCCUAGUUCAUGUACUGGAUUUUUCAUCAGGCCUGUGAAAUGGUUUUUGUCUCUGUUCGGUGAAGGCAUUGCAAUAACAUUUGAUAUAGCUGCUGUGAAACUGUUAUUUUUUUUCAUAAUUUCUAUGCAGUAUGUAAUGUAAUGGUACGAUUUGAGGAUGGUUCGUGUUUUUAGCCAAGCUAAUAACAUGAAAUACAUUACAGUGUUAAACAUACUGGUUGUAGCUUAUCCUUUUGAGGAUACUGAUAAACAUUGACUGUACUUUCACUUAAUCCUUCAAGUGAACAUAGCAGCUGUAGAUUUCCAUGUGGUUUUAGAAUUUUAUGUACAGUUUCUCUUUUUUGUUGUAGCUGUAUCUGUGUUAUUAUUGGUAUAAACAUGCCAAUUGAAUUAAAAUGAUUGUAAUUUC